Molecule: ribosomal RNA, 842 nt
Filed under: uncultured Pseudomonadota bacterium
Lineage: Bacteria; Pseudomonadati; Pseudomonadota
Description: bacterial SSU rRNA
Rfam family: Bacterial small subunit ribosomal RNA
Source: RNAcentral
AGAGUUUGAUCCUGGCUCAGAUUGAACGCUGGCGGUAGGCUUAACACAUGCAAGUCGUGCGAGAAAGUAUCUUCGGAUAUGAGUAGAGCGGCGGACGGGUGAGUAACGCGUAGGAAUCUACCUAGUAGAAGGGGAUAGCCCGAGGAAACUCGGAUUAAUACCGUAUACCUCCUUUCGGGAGAAAGAAGGCCUCUCAUUGAAGCUUUCGCUACUAGAUGAGCCUGCGUAAGAUUAGCUUGUUGGUGAGGUAAAGGCUCACCAAGGCAACGAUCUUUAGCGGGUCUGAGAGGACGAUCCGCCACAUUGGGACUGAGACACGGCCCAGACUCCUACGGGAGGCAGCAGUGGGGAAUAUUGGACAAUGGGCGCAAGCCUGAUCCAGCCAUACCGCGUGUGUGAAGAAGGCCCUAGGGUUGUAAAGCACUUUAAGUUGGGAAGAAAAGUUAUUGGCUAAUACCCAAUGACCGUGACAUUACCUUCAGAAUAAGGACCGGCUAAUUCCGUGCCAGCAGCCGCGGUAAUACGGAAGGUCCAAGCGUUAAUCGGAAUUACUGGGCGUAAAGCGCGCGUAGGUGGUUUAUUAAGUUGGAUGUGAAAUCCCCGGGCUCAACCUGGGAACUGCAUCCAAAACUGAUUCACUAGAGUACGAUAGAGGGAGGUAGAAUUCACAGUGUAGCGGUGGAAUGCGUAGAUAUUGUGAAGAAUACCAAUGGCGAAGGCAGCCUCCUGGAUCUGUACUGACACUGAGGUGCGAAAGCGUGGGUAGCGAACAGGAUUAGAUACCCUGGUAGUCCACGCCGUAAACGAUGUCAACUAGCUGUUGGGGAACUAAUGUUCUUCAG